Molecule: ribosomal RNA, 78 nt
Filed under: Microbispora cellulosiformans
Lineage: Bacteria; Bacillati; Actinomycetota; Actinomycetes; Streptosporangiales; Streptosporangiaceae
Source: RNAcentral
CCGAACCCGGAAGUUAAGCCCGCCAGCGCCGAUGGUACUGCACCGGGGACGGUGUGGGAGAGUAGGACGCCGCCGGAC